RNAcentral lists this transfer-messenger RNA (402 nucleotides) under bovine gut metagenome. It matches the Rfam family "transfer-messenger RNA". From Rfam's summary of the family: Bacterial tmRNA, also known as 10Sa RNA or SsrA, is named for its dual tRNA and mRNA-like properties. The record is from RNAcentral.
GGGGUCGAUUUGGAUUUGACAGCAGGAUGGGGUGCUCGGUAAGCACGCAGAGAGUUGGUGGCCGCUCUCUUUAAUCAAUGACCUUCAGACAAUUAUCUGGCGAAAACAACUACGCUCUCGCUGCUUGAUUGAAGUAUAGUAGAUCUAUAGCUUAAUCGCGGCACCAGGUGCUGCGACGAGAUGUCACCCGGAGGCUAACGCCCCGAAGCGCUUCGAACCGGUGGCACAGCAAAAUCGGGGAUAGCCGACAGCGGCCUCGCGCUGGCGGUGAAAAUUCAGAGGAUAAGGCAUUGGUUGGUGGCUUGGGUCUUGCCAGUGCACGAAAACGAAGACCAAGAUAAGCGUGUAGAAAGCUUAGGACUUCCCUGUUUGGACGAGGGUUCAAUCCCCUCCGGCUCCACA